CUACGGGAGGCACCAGUGGGGAAUAUUGCACAAUGGGCGCAAGCCUGAUGCAGCAACGCCGCGUGAACGAUGAAGGCCUUCGGGUUGUAAAGUUCUUUUCUUAGGGAAGAAUAAAUGACGGUACCUAAGGAAUCAGCCCCGGCUAACUACGUGCCAGCAGCCGCGGUAAUACGUAGGGGGCAAGCGUUAUCCGGAAUCACUGGGCGUAAAGGGAGUGUAGGCGGUCAAGCAAGUCAGAGGUGAAAGGCAUCGGCUCAACCGAUGUAAGCCUUUGAAACUGUUUGACUUGAGUGCAGGGGGUAAGUGGAAUUCCUAGUGUAGCGGUGAAAUGCGUAGAUAUUAGGAGGAACACCAGUGGCGAAGGCGACUUACUGGACUGUAACUGACGCUGAGGCUCGAAAGCGUGGGGAGCGAACAGGAUUAGAUACCCUAGUAGUC
RNAcentral lists this ribosomal RNA (438 nucleotides) under uncultured bacterium. Its description in RNAcentral is "partial 16S ribosomal RNA". It matches the Rfam family "Bacterial small subunit ribosomal RNA", at positions 339 to 795 of the family's 1533-position model. The record is from RNAcentral.